UGAGUCCCAGUUGUUACAAGUGGUUUUAUUUAUAUUUGUAUAUUCAAUUCUUCUUCUUCUUCUUUUUUCCUGGAAUCAAGUAAUAUACUGGUGCUCAUCUGACAAGUUCAAUGUUGAAAAGGCAUUUUAUUUAUAUUUGUAUAUACUGACCUUCCUUUGCCCUAUGUGAAGCCAUACUCAUCCCAAAGUUUAAGUCUAUGUUUUGCCUUCCUUGCCAGACAAGGUCUGAGAUGUUUUUAAGGGCCAAUGCUUAUUUUAUGCAGACUUGGGUAUGGGUAUCAAAUGUAGGUGCAUGUUGACAUGUUGGAUAUUUCUAUUCUAUAGAAAUUCUUCUUCCAAACCCAUACCCAAGUGUCAAGCCAUGUUGUUUCUAUUGGCAGAACUAUUUGGGUAACCCAGAUGUCUAGAAAACAUAGACGCAACCUCAUUUGGAGAAUAUUAGAUAACUUUAUUAAGUGCACGUCUCAAUGUCUGGUCGAUCCUUCUAAAACCUAUAUAGUUUGUUUUAAGUAUUACAUUCAUGUAUUUUAUUUCAUGUAAGAUUUCAGACCGUUUUUGACCCUUUUUUUUGUUUGCGAAUGCUAGGGCUUUCUAUCUCAGUAUCCGACUCUAUACUGGUAGCUUACUGGUAUGGAUUGGGUUGGUAUGUGUCACGACCCCCGCCCUGUUCCCGGCGGGCCGCCGCGACGGUCCUAGGGUGCGGGUAGGCAUAAGGCCACCAGCCACCACGUAAAACCCUACUACCUAUCAAUCAUCAAUAAAUUCUGAAAAUUUUGGCAUGAUGAAUGCACAAAAUGAUCACCUUUCUUAUAGUGACCUGUCAGGAUUAUCUCAAUACAUACAACAACAUUACCUGUCAGAGCAGCAAUCACAUAACCUGUCACAUAACGAACCUGGACAAUAUAUAUCAAUACAUCAUCACAGGCAUAUAACUCAACUGUAUAAAAAUCUGGUUCCCAUUCCAUCCAUGGUCAAAC
This 977-nucleotide long non-coding RNA is filed under the name Phoenix dactylifera (date palm). Its description in RNAcentral is "long non-coding RNA (PDAC_LNC006712)". The record is from RNAcentral. Lineage: Eukaryota; Viridiplantae; Streptophyta; Magnoliopsida; Arecales; Arecaceae.